RNAcentral lists this ribosomal RNA (253 nucleotides) under uncultured bacterium. RNAcentral's name for it is "partial 16S ribosomal RNA". It matches the Rfam family "Bacterial small subunit ribosomal RNA", at positions 524 to 776 of the family's 1533-position model. The record is from RNAcentral.
UACGUAGGGAGCAAGCGUUGUCCGGAAUCAUUGGGCGUAAAGCGCGCGUAGGUGGCCUCAUAAGUCCGCUGUGAAAGUCAAAGGCUCAACCUUUGAAAGCCGGUGGAUACUGUGAGGCUAGAGUACGGAAGAGGCGAGUGGAAUUCCUGGUGUAGCGGUGGAAUGCGCAGAUAUCAGGAGGAACACCAAUAGCGAAGGCGGCUCGCUGGGCCAUUCCUGACGCUGAGACGCGAAAGCUAGGGGAGCGAACAGG